UUUUAAGAGACAGCAGUCGCCACGGGAAUACGUAGGGUGCAAGCGUUAAUCGGAAUUACUGGGCGUAAAGCGUGCGCAGGCGGUUAUAUAAGACAGAUGUGAAAUCCCCGGGCUCAACCUGGGAACUGCAUUUGUGACUGUAUAGCUAGAGUACGGCAGAGGGGGAUGGAAUUCCGCGUGUAGCAGUGAAAUGCGUAGAUAUGCGGAGGAACACCGAUGGCGAAGGCAAUCCCCUGGGCCUGUACUGACGCUCAUGCACGAAAGCGUGGGGAGCAAACAGGAUUAGAUACCCCCGUAGUCCCUGUCUCUUAUAA
This 314-nucleotide ribosomal RNA is filed under the name uncultured bacterium. RNAcentral describes it as "partial 16S ribosomal RNA". It matches the Rfam family "Bacterial small subunit ribosomal RNA", at positions 499 to 809 of the family's 1533-position model. The record is from RNAcentral.